This 1293-nucleotide long non-coding RNA is filed under the name Numida meleagris (helmeted guineafowl). Its description in RNAcentral is "lncRNA (ENSNMEG00000002796.1)". The record is from RNAcentral. Lineage: Eukaryota; Metazoa; Chordata; Aves; Galliformes; Numididae.
AUGCAAGGAGCACAGCGUCGUCCUCGCACUGCAUUCCCUCCAGCGGGAGCUGCUCCUUGGCCCAUGGCAGCUGCAGAAACCCCAAAUCGGGGCAGCGAGCCCCACAUCAGCACUGAGAUGUGGGAUGUGCCCAAAGCCUGGCUCCUGAGUUCUGCCGAGAUCCAGAGGGUCUUACAGGACACAGGACCCCCAGGCAUCACCCACAUGAUCGGGCAGCGGCUCUGCAGGAACAGCCACGCUGUCUCCAUGCACGGUGACACUGUGACACAUCUCCACCCGCCCCUGCACAGUGCCAUCCCCUAUGCUUUGGGGGGAGUUCAUCCACCCAUGCCCUCAGUUUUGCCAGGUCUCAGCCAUGGGGUGGCACAGCACGUCCCUCCAAGGGUUAAAGGCUUCCAAGCCCCCAUCCCACAAAGCAAAAAGGUUUCACUGCUUUUAACCCCUUCUCCGUCCCUUCUUUGCCCCCUGGGAGCUUUUUGCUGCUGUGAAGCAGCGCAGGUGGAUUCGGUCUGGUUUUGGUUAAGGGCAAAGCUUUGUAGGAGCAGGCAGGGUGAUUUGAAUAACAGCACUAAUUGGAUUUUAAAAGCACAGCCCCCAAAACUGAGGCUGCAAGCGCUGGGACAAAGCAAACGUGCUCACGGAAACCCAGCAGAGCACGGCGGUGAGACCCAGCCGUGCCGUGCCAUGCGCAGGGCUGCGUCCCCUCAUCCCACGGGGGGCUCCUUCCCCAUGGGGCCAAGCGCUGAACCCCAAAAAGCACAGAGGGGAUCUCUGUGCCCCACGCCUGUGCCCACAGUCACCUGGCGUGCGGGGCUGGCUGUAACGCUGCCUCCAUCGCCUUUAUCUGCCUGCACGCAGAUGAGUGCCCGAGCGCAACUUCGCGCUCCAAAAAGCCCAAGUUGUCUCCACCUGGCAGGCGCAAUGGAAAAACCACCGAGACCUUCUCCUUCCAGCUCCCGGCCGUGUGGAGCUGAAGGGAUGGUUCCCUGCGAGGUGGCCCGUGCCCAGCAGCGCGGCUGCGGGGUGGGAAACCACAGCCCCCCAAAGAGCCCCGAUCCUGCUGGAGGCAGAGCAGAGCCCUUGGAGAGCCCCAGAGAACGGGGAAAGCACCAACCUGGGGAGAGCCUGGAGCUUUUCCCUGGUCCCGUGGAUAGGAUUUGGGGGCACUGUACCACUAAGAGCAUCCCUGUGCUUUGUGGUGCCAGGGAUGGGGUUGGUGCUGCUCCGGUGCCAUGCACAGCAGCAGCAGUGGUGACACAAAUCCUAAAUCUCACCCUCGGCUGCGUGCCCUGA